AAGACUAUACUUUCAGGGAUCAUUUCUAUAGUUUCUGACUCGAGAAAUGUGUUUCUAAAGUGAUUAGUCUCGCUAACCACGAUGAUGAGUCGUGAUAUUCCCUUCUGAGCGUGAAGCGGGCACAGAGUAAUGAUUCAGUUCAUAUGCUCUCUGUCAUUGAGGAUCGUUCUAUGUUUCUUUAUGGAGCUUUGAGGAAGGGAAUAUGAUCAGAGUGGC
Molecule: small nucleolar RNA, 216 nt
Filed under: Cottoperca gobio
Lineage: Eukaryota; Metazoa; Chordata; Actinopteri; Perciformes; Bovichtidae
Description: Small nucleolar RNA U3 (ENSCGOG00000000781.1)
Rfam family: Small nucleolar RNA U3
About the family: Small nucleolar RNAs (snoRNAs) are involved in the processing and modification of rRNA in the nucleolus. There are two main classes of snoRNAs: the box C/D class, and the box H/ACA class. U3 snoRNA is a member of the box C/D class.
Source: Rfam by way of RNAcentral